This is a long non-coding RNA of Pseudophryne corroboree (corroboree frog), 1734 nucleotides long. RefSeq lists it as uncharacterized. Lineage: Eukaryota; Metazoa; Chordata; Amphibia; Anura; Myobatrachidae. The transcript is spliced from 2 exons. The record is from RefSeq and is a predicted model, not a curated record.
AAAGCUGUGAAAGCUUAGCAGUUCAAAUUGCUAUCUAGAAGCUGCAAGAGGAACUAGCUAAUUUGUUCUUUUAUCAUUUUCAUCUCACAGUCUGGGCUCUAAUUGAAUGGGAGGGAACUGGUAGUGAGUGAUAUACUGUACAUAUAAAAAAAGAAAACUUAGUGAAACUUAAAGCUAAGAGAAAAUCCAGAGAAAGGUACAGAUUCUGCUUGGAAGGGCUAGAAGAAGGGACUGCAGCUCACUGAGGCAGAAAGCAGAAUCAUUCUUCCACAUUAGCAGAGAGACAAUUAUUAGAUUACAAGAUUGAUGGCAUCGCCUAUUUUCCCCCAGGAUCUGAUAGUGGAGCUGAAGGAAAUUGAGCCGGAGGCCGGGCCGUAUGAGAAUGAGCAACCUCAGAAGAGCACUGCAGACCCGUACCUGAUCAGCACUACAACUGGUGGGAUGGAAAACUCCUGCCACAGCUGCCUGCUAGGGUUUGGAAUAGUAACACUUUUGAUCGGCGUAUCAGUUGCAUGUUUGUCGUAUGCAACUCAUUUGCAUGACAAAGUUCUCUUAGCUGUGGGGCACUUAAUUCUGUUCAUGGGCAUCUCAGUAACUGCGUUCAGUUGCAUUUGGAGACGCUACAGGAAAAAAAGAAAGGCCAAGAUGAAUAAUGAUUUGGAAGAAUUGUUUUCGGAGAAUAAACAGAAAAAAAUCAAAAUAUAACAGACGUCCAGUUAAUAAAUACUUCAGUCCUGCAUCUUAUGGUGAGAAAGAUUGUAUUCUGCAUAUUGCAAACAGUCAACUGAACAUGGACUAUAAAACCUGCUUAUCCCUCCUCUUUUCUCAUUACAUAAACAUUAUGGGAGCCAUACAUCUGCUGCAUAUUGCCCCAACACUGCCAACACUGGAGCAUAUAACAGUUUAUCAAAAAGAAAAGGAAAUGCAAUUCUGCGCAUCCACAGCUGACACUGGGGUCAGGGAAUUGGGGAAAUCCAAUAUGAUGAAUUUCCCCAAUUUGCCUAUUCCGACCAAAAUAUGAUCUGCAUUCCUAAAUCAAGAAUUUAUAACAUGCAGAAUUUCCCUGAAUCCUCAACGGAUCACAAGUCUUCGCUGGCUGCCGAUUGUGUUUUUGAUCGUUGUAUUGGGGAACCGCCGCGCUAAUGCAUGGUCCGAAUUACUCAAGCUAAUCUGGAGCCUGGGUCCAAAACUUUACUUGAUCCAAGUUACGUUAAAUAUUUGUGUUCACUUAAAUUUGCUGCUGAGUAAAUAUACUAUUGUCACGCAGCAUAUUCUACAGCUAUCACUGAAGGCAUACCUCCCAAUAAUAAGGGGCUUGCCAUCAUGACAAUGUGGGUGUGACUUUGGUGUAUGGGGGCAUGGCUUGGACAGAGCAGUGUGCGGUUUGGGUGGAUCACGGUAGGAGAUAUUGGGACAAUUUGGCAUCUUGGCGGUAUGCUGAAGAGAGUGAACACAUUGAAAUCAAAUAAAUAUUUAUUUAUGAUAAACAGAUUUUAUGUAACGGUCACAUAUCUACACAGUGUCCAUAAUGUAAAAUGUUGAAGAAGAACACUUUGCGUUUUGCUCUAAGAAAGGACACACUUAUUCAUAGAUGUGCACGCACAUUGGCAGAUUUUCCAUACAUAUUAGGAAAUACUAAGGGCAUAUUAAUGUAUCUGGCUGUCAAUCUUUUGCAGUUGUUUGUUGUACUUUAAAGGGUGAAAAGAAGACAAAUAAAGGCUUAAUUUUACUAAG